Molecule: ribosomal RNA, 275 nt
Filed under: Aspergillus fischeri var. fischeri
Lineage: Eukaryota; Fungi; Ascomycota; Eurotiomycetes; Eurotiales; Aspergillaceae
Description: partial large subunit ribosomal RNA
Rfam family: Eukaryotic large subunit ribosomal RNA
Source: RNAcentral
GAGUGAUCGAAAGAUGAAAAGCACUUUGAAAAGAGAGUUAAACAGCACGUGAAAUUGUUGAAAGGGAAGCGUUUGCGACCAGACUCGCCCGCGGGGUUCAGCCGGCACUCGUGCCGGUGUACUUCCCCGUGGGCGGGCCAGCGUCGGUUUGGGCGGCCGGUCAAAGGCCCUCGGAAUGUAUCACCUCUCGGGGUGUCUUAUAGCCGAGGGUGCAAUGCGGCCUGCCCGGACCGAGGAACGCGCUCGGGCGGAGACGCUGGCGUAAUGGUCGUAAA